GUGCCAGCCGCCGCGGUAAAACGUAGGAGGCAAGCGUUAUCCGGAUUUACUGGGCGUAAAGGGCAAGUAGGUGGUCCGAUGCGUCGGGUUUGAAAUCGCCUGGCUUAACUGGGCGGGUGGACCCGAAACGGUUGGACUUGAGGUAGGGAGAGGGAUGCGGAAUUCCUGGUGUAGUGGUGGAAUGCGUAGAGAUCAGGAGGAACACCCGUGGCGAAAGCGGCAUCCUGGCCCUGACCUGACACUGAGGUGCGAAAGCGUGGGGAGCAAACAGGAUUAGAAACCCGCGUAGUCC
Molecule: ribosomal RNA, 292 nt
Filed under: uncultured bacterium
Lineage: Bacteria
Description: partial 16S ribosomal RNA
Rfam family: Bacterial small subunit ribosomal RNA
Source: RNAcentral